UCCUACGGGGGGCUGCAGUGGGGAAUAUUGGACAAUGGGGGCAACCCUGAUCCAGCCAUGCCGCGUGAGUGAAGAAGGCCCUAGGGUUGUAAAGCUCUUUCGCACGCGACGAUGAUGACGGUAGCGUGAGAAGAAGCCCCGGCUAACUUCGUGCCAGCAGCCGCGGUAAUACGAAGGGGGCAAGCGUUGUUCGGAUUUACUGGGCGUAAAGGGCGCGUAGGCGGAUGUUCAAGUCAGAGGUGAAAGCCCUGGGCUCAACCCGGGAACUGCCUUUGAAACUGGACAUCUUGAGUAUGGGAGAGGGUGGCGGAAUACCCAGUGUAGAGGUGAAAUUCGUAGAUAUUGGGUAGAACACCAGUGGCGAAGGCGGCCACCUGGCCCAUAACUGACGCUGAGGCGCGAAAGCGUGGGGAGCAAACAGGAUUAGAUACCCGUGUAGUCG
Molecule: ribosomal RNA, 442 nt
Filed under: uncultured Kiloniellales bacterium
Lineage: Bacteria; Pseudomonadati; Pseudomonadota; Alphaproteobacteria; Rhodospirillales
Description: bacterial SSU rRNA
Rfam family: Bacterial small subunit ribosomal RNA
Source: RNAcentral